AGUGAACGCUGGCGGUAGGCCUAACACAUGCAAGUCGAACGGCAGCACAGUAAGAGCUUGCUCUUACGGGUGGCGAGUGGCGGACGGGUGAGGAAUACAUCGGAAUCUACUUUUUUGUGGGGGAUAACGUAGGGAAACUUACGCUAAUACCGCAUACGACCUACGGGUGAAAGCAGGGGAUCUUCGGACCUUGCGCGAUUGAAUGAGCCGAUGUCGGAUUAGCUAGUUGGCGGGGUAAAGGCCCACCAAGGCGACGAUCCGUAGCUGGUCUGAGAGGAUGAUCAGCCAAACGGGAACUGAGACACGGUCCAGAACCCUACGGGAGGCAGCAGUGGGGAAUAUUGGACAAUGGCGCAAGCCUGAUCCAGCCAUACCGCGUGGGUGAAGAAGGCCUUCGGGUUGUAAAGCCCUUUUGUUGGGAAAGAAAAGCAGCAGGUUAAUACCCCGCUGUUCUGACGGUACCCAAAGAAUAAGCACCGGCUAACUUCGUG
RNAcentral lists this ribosomal RNA (491 nucleotides) under uncultured bacterium. RNAcentral's name for it is "partial 16S ribosomal RNA". It matches the Rfam family "Bacterial small subunit ribosomal RNA", at positions 29 to 507 of the family's 1533-position model. The record is from RNAcentral.